AGAGCGAACGCUGGCGGCAGGCCUAACACAUGCAAGUCGAACGGAUCCUUCGGGAUUAGUAGCGGACGGGUGAGUAACACGUGGGAACGUGCCCUUUGGUUCGGAACAACUCAGGGAAACUUGAGCUAAUACCGGAUAAGCCUUUCGAGGGAAAGAUUUAUCGCCAUUGGAGCGGCCCGCGUAGGAUUAGCUAGUUGGUGAGGUAAAAGCUCACCAAGGCGACGAUCCGUAACUGGUCUGAGAGGAUGAUCAGUCACACUGGAACUGAGACACGGUCCAGACUCCUACGGGAGGCAGCAGUGGGGAAUAUUGGACAAUGGGCGAAAGCCUGAUCCAGCCAUGCCGCGUGUGUGAAG
RNAcentral lists this ribosomal RNA (356 nucleotides) under uncultured soil bacterium. RNAcentral describes it as "bacterial SSU rRNA". It matches the Rfam family "Bacterial small subunit ribosomal RNA", at positions 26 to 410 of the family's 1533-position model. The record is from RNAcentral.